GAGCUGAGAUUGCACCACUGCACCCCAGCCUGGACGACAGAGUGAGACUCAAUAAUAAUAAUAAUAAAUAAUGAAGGGAAAGUUUUUUAGGGAGAGGGGCAAAUGAUAGUGAUCCUGGUAGGUUCUGGAAACUUCAAGGGGCUCAUUUUGCUUGGAGAGGGAGGAAAGUGGGGGUGGGGUGGGUGAAAAGUUGUUGGGAGACCGGGCGUGGUGGCUCAUGCCUAUAAUCCUAGCACUUUGGGAGGCCGAGGCAGGUGGAUCACUUGAGCUCAGGAGUUCGAAACCAGCCUGGCCAACAUGGUGAAUGUACAACGGACAGCCCCCAAUACAGACAGACAGACACACACACACACACACACACACACUCACUCACUCCUACCCCCAGCCCUAAGAAUUUACAAACACUGAUAAAGACAAAUGAAAUCAGCGGAUAUAGACUUCAAACGCCGUCAGACAGACACCCACUAGAUCAAACAGGGACAUUCCUAAACAUCACACAGACACAUCGCCAGGCAGUCCCACCGCAGACAGCCACAAAUUAAAGCCGCGCUUGCCCCCUGAUGGACAGCAGCAGUAGUGCGCCACCUCGAUAGCGCAAUCUCCCAGAGCGCUGGCAUUGCAGGCGUGAGCCAACGUCCGCAGCCAAACACGUUCAUAUUGUUGAGAAGGCAGAGAAAUACAAAGUAGGUGGAAGGGUCUCCACCUACAGCUGUUUUCUGUGGUCUGAGGAUUCUUCCCACGUCUUUAAUUUCUAGUGCUUUCUAGGGGUCUCAACUUGAACUAUUUAAUAUUUUCUGGAAGAGAAACAUUUUUUGUGGG
This 819-nucleotide long non-coding RNA is filed under the name Homo sapiens (human). RNAcentral describes it as "HSALNT0255150". The record is from RNAcentral. Lineage: Eukaryota; Metazoa; Chordata; Mammalia; Primates; Hominidae.